This 560-nucleotide ribosomal RNA is filed under the name uncultured bacterium. RNAcentral's name for it is "bacterial SSU rRNA". It matches the Rfam family "Bacterial small subunit ribosomal RNA", at positions 338 to 916 of the family's 1533-position model. The record is from RNAcentral.
CCUACGGGAGGCAGCAGUGGGGAAUAUUGGGCAAUGGAGGAAACUCUGACCCAGCGACGCCGCGUGCGGGAUGAAGGCCUUCGGGUUGUAAACCGCUUUCAGUAGGGAAGAAGCGAAAGUGACGGUACCUACAGAAGAAGCACCGGCUAACUAUGUGCCAGCAGCCGCGGUAAUACAUAGGGUGCAAGCGUUGUCCGGAAUUAUUGGGCGUAAAGAGCUCGUAGGUGGUUCGUCACGUCGGAUGUGAAAAUCUGGGGCUCAACCCCAGACCUGCAUUCGAUACGGGCGAUCUAGAGUGUGGUAGGGGAGACUGGAAUUCCUGGUGUAGCGGUGGAAUGCGCAGAUAUCAGGAGGAACACCAAUGGCGAAGGCAGGUCUCUGGGCCAUUACUGACACUGAGGAGCGAAAGCGUGGGGAGCGAACAGGAUUAGAUACCCUGGUAGUCCACGCCGUAAACGGUGGGCACUAGUUGUGGGAACCUUCCACGGUUUCUGCGACGCAGCUAACGCAUUAAGUGCCCGCUGGGAGUACAUCGCAGAUUAAACUCAAUGAAUUGACGG